This 66-nucleotide transfer RNA is filed under the name Chodsigoa smithii (Smith's shrew). RNAcentral describes it as "tRNA-Cys". It matches the Rfam family "tRNA". From Rfam's summary of the family: Transfer RNA (tRNA) molecules are approximately 80 nucleotides in length. Their secondary structure includes four short double-helical elements and three loops (D, anti-codon, and T loops). The record is from RNAcentral. Lineage: Eukaryota; Metazoa; Chordata; Mammalia; Eulipotyphla; Soricidae.
UAGCCCUGUGGUGAAUUUCAUAUUGAAUUGCAAAUUCAAAGAAGCAGCUUCAAUUCUGCCGGGGCU